UACGGGGGGAGCAAGCGUUGUUCGGAUUUACUGGGCGUAAAGGGCGCGUAGGCGGUCAGCACAAGUCGGUUGUGAAAUCUCCGGGCUUAACCCGGAAAGGUCAACUGAUACUGUGCGACUAGAGUGCGGAAGGGGCAACUGGAAUUCUCGGUGUAGCGGUGAAAUGCGCAGAUAUCAGGAGGAACACCGGUGGCGAAGGCGGGUCUCUGGGCCGAUACUGACACUGAGGAGCGAAAGCGUGGGGAGCGAACAGG
RNAcentral lists this ribosomal RNA (254 nucleotides) under uncultured bacterium. RNAcentral's name for it is "partial 16S ribosomal RNA". It matches the Rfam family "Bacterial small subunit ribosomal RNA", at positions 524 to 776 of the family's 1533-position model. The record is from RNAcentral.